This 2103-nucleotide long non-coding RNA is filed under the name Ixodes scapularis (black-legged tick). Its description in RNAcentral is "uncharacterized LOC121835526". The record is from RNAcentral. Lineage: Eukaryota; Metazoa; Arthropoda; Arachnida; Ixodida; Ixodidae.
UCCUGCACAACCUGGCCAAGACAUACCCCUGCAGCAUGCCAAGGACUGUCCUCCCCGAAGAGGUUCCCGUCGAGCCCGUGGCAGCGGGCCGUGAUGAAAGCAACGAGGCUCGGGAUGCCAUCGUCAGCCAGUUCUUCGGUUGAGCCAGGAGAUUAGCUCCCUCGAGCUGCUGCUGCCUUUCUGUCUCCUGCAAGAAGCGCUGUGAAGCCUCCCGGCACCAACGUCGGCUGUAUGGCACAUUUGUUGGAGCCCGCUGCACCGCCUCCAGCGGCCGACUCUCGUGCAGCACUGCCGCACUUGCUCCGCUCCCAGAGGGACCAGGCUGUGGAUCUAUUCCCCUGGAGCUGUCACUGCGACAAAUGCAUGUGUAAAAAGUGGUCAGGUUUUGUUCUUGUCAGCAUGGGCAAAGAGAACACACUGUGCAAAGUUUGUAACCCUGAUAAAGACACCGAUGCUGCGCCAAAAUUCAUUCAUACGGGUUGGUACAGAGGACAAAGUUUGUGAGCCAAGUUGGUUUAUACACUGACGCACAGGCUUGAGGUCGGAGCGCAGUGUUGUUACUUCUUGCACAAUUGCCCAGUACAUGGUGUAGGAAAAUGUGCAUUUGGUUGUGAAGAGCAUUUGGUUGUGAAGAGCACACAGCUGCAUUCUAAAGGUUAGAAUGCAGCUGUGUAGCUAUGCGAUUAACAGUUCAUAAAUUUAGUGGUCACAUGUCCAGUCAAACCACAAUGCACUGCACAUUUAUAGGACAACCUCAAACAUUACAGCACAUAGCUUCACUGGUAUUGAUUUUACUCACACAGGUUACCAUCAUGGGGGUAGUUAACUUCCUGACCAGAAUGAAGUUAAUGUUUGAGCCAAUUUUCUAAGUUGGUAAAACAAGCAACAGGAUGGUUGUACUGUGUGUGAUCUUUUAAUUUGCAUAUUGAAAGCGUGCUACAGUUAGCAUUAAAAAAAAGCCAUUGCCACUUUGUUGCAUUUAAUUUCUAUAAGAUGGUAAUAAACAGCUUUACCACCUGAUUUCUCAUUGCAUGCCGUGUUAUUGCAUGAAUUUGUAGCUUCGGUGAAACUGUUUCAGCCUUGUUGAAAAUAAUUAGAAAUGUGGUAGCGCUGGUGCCUCGUCAGAUCUUAGAGUGCACUCUGGAAGACGGUUUCGUGACUUAUAUUUCGAACCGCCUUUGAGCUUUUGUUGUUGAAAUAGAACUGAAGCCAGAUUCCCGGAACUUUCUUACGACAAAAAAGUUAGUAGAUUUAUCUUAUGACAAAUUUACGAACUUUUAAGUAUUCCCGAAGCACAAAGAUCGUAAGUUUUGCGCAAGCUACGGAUUUCGUCAGAACUUGCGCAAAACUUACAAACAUUUUGCUUCGGGAAUACUCAAAAGUUUGUAACUUUGUUGUAAGAAAGUUUCGGGCAUCCGGCCUCUGGUCUUUAUAUGAAAGUACUCGGCAGCAAUGCCAUUCAAAUGGCAACAUGCCCAUCUUCUUAUCAUCAUUUGUCCUCGUCUUUUAGAACCUCGCCUGGAACGACAGUUCUGCAUUACUGUGACCGGUUCCUUAAAACCAUUUACUCUUCACACAAUCGGGUCUAGAAACCAGUCACCUACUCUUCCGUGUCACCUAUGGUGGCCUCCAACCCGCACAGGUUGGGCGAGUCCUCGCCGAUCACUUCGAGGACGGCCUCGACGAGGGGCGUCAGGACGUGGGGGUUUGGCCCAGCACCCAUGAAUUAAGGCGUAGUAAUUUCGUCUCGACUCUUACUUACUCGAGUUACGAGCAAAAACAGAGGAGGUGGGGUUCACUGUUCAACCAAGUAUGUAAAUGGAACUUUCAUGGGAAAAUUAAAAUAAACAAAUACUGCAUGAGACAUUCUUUUAAACAUUCAUUAACUGCUAGAUAACACUGCUGAAACUGUGGACUGUGUAAUCGUGCAAUUUUUACUUUCUUAUAGUUUGGCCUGUCGGCCUCUACCAUUGUGCUCUCUUAUAAUCUGUUUUAUUAUUUUGUCCGAAGUUUUGGGUCUUCCACUGAACUGUUUUACAAGUUCCAUACAGCCUGUGCAGAACUUGUACAUAAACUGGAAUAAAUUGUUUUCUGAUGCUGUAA